Molecule: RNA transcript, 771 nt
Organism: Cryptotermes secundus
Lineage: Eukaryota; Metazoa; Arthropoda; Insecta; Blattodea; Kalotermitidae
Exons: 5
Source: RefSeq, a predicted model, not a curated record
CCGCCCCUCUCUGCCAAACGCUUCCCAGUUGAUCACGUGUUCUGAUAUGUACGGUUCUUAAAGGUUGGAUGGUUUGGUUUGGGCCGUUUGGACGGUUUGGUUUGGACGUCCCUCUGUCUGCGGCAAAUAUUUGGUCGUUUUGGUCGAGGUUAAUGCAAUGAUGGAAACACAAGUCACAGAUUUCACAUCACGUACUGUACAGUGUGGUGAGCUGAAUGAGUCAUCUUUAUGAAUUGUCAUUAAUGUUAUCACUCAUUAGCUGCAGGGAACAACUGUGUUAAUGAGCCUUCAUUGCUGCUACACAGGAUAAAAUAUAUAUGUAAAAAACAUUCGGAAAUUUUUGAUUCAGGGGCAAAACCAGUGUUGAUGAACCCUACAAUUCUCCCACUCAGGGUAAUACAAUCCUCAAAAAAUAAAUCCAGUGAUUUCACGUCAGGUAAUGUACAGUGUUGUAUGUAGAACAAGACAUUGUAAGCUGUCAUGAUUGAUGUGUCCUUUUAUUCUUACAGGGAACAUCAGUGUUAGUGAGACUUCACUUCUCCCAGCCAGGUUAACACAUUGUUGGAAGCAUGAAUUUGGAGAUUUUGCAUCAGGCAUGUAGCCAGAGGGAUGAGUUUCGGCUCCUGUUCUGGAACCUGGACGUUGUACGAUCUGAGGGAGGUGGCCAACUGAAGAAGGAAAACAUGGUCACACAGACACCGGAAAGAAUGGUCACCCUCAGUUUGUGACACCCAGUAUAGCUGCAACUGCUGAUGAAGGCAGAACGUCAUU